CAGAACGAACGCUGGCGGCGCGUCUUAAGCAUGCAAGUCGAACGGCAAGAGGUAGCAAUACCUCCUAGAGUGGCGGACUGGUGAGUAAUACGUGGGUGACAUACCCUUCAGAUGGGGAUAGCUAUUAGAAAUAGUAGAUAAUACCGAAUACGAGCACAGGGGUUAGAGAUCUGUGAGGAAAGGAGCUAAGGCUCCGCUGAAGGAAUGGCCUGCGGCCCAUUAGCUAGUUGGUGAGGUAAGAGCCCACCAAGGCGAUGAUGGGUAUCCGGCCUUAGAGGGUGAACGGACACAUUGGGACUGAGAUACGGCCCAGACUCCUACGGGAGGCAGCAGCUAAGAAUAUUCCGCAAUGGACGAAAGUCUGACGGAGCGACGCCGCCGUGGAUGAAGAAGGCCGGAAGGUUGUAAAAUCCUUUUGAAACUGAAGAAUAAGCGUUGUAGGGAAUGACAGCGUGGUGACAGUAGGUUUUGAAUAAGCAACGGCUAAUUACGUGCCAGCCGCCGC
Molecule: ribosomal RNA, 505 nt
Filed under: uncultured bacterium
Lineage: Bacteria
Description: bacterial SSU rRNA
Rfam family: Bacterial small subunit ribosomal RNA
Source: RNAcentral